AUUGAACGCUAGCGGGAUGCCUUACACAUGCAAGUCGAACGGCAGCACGGACUUCGGUCUGGUGGCGAGUGGCGAACGGGUGAGUAAUGUAUCGGAACGUGCCUAGUAGCGGGGGAUAACUACGCGAAAGCGUAGCUAAUACCGCAUACGCCCUACGGGGGAAAGCAGGGGAUCGCAAGACCUUGCACUAUUAGAGCGGCCGAUAUCGGAUUAGCUAGUUGGUGGGGUAACGGCUCACCAAGGCGACGAUCCGUAGCUGGUUUGAGAGGACGACCAGUCACACUGGGACUGAGACACGGCCCAGACUCCUACGGGAGGCAGCAGUGGGGAAUUUUGGACAAUGGGGGAAACCCUGAUCCAGCCAUCCCGCGUGUGCGAUGAAGGCCUUCGGGUUGUAAAGCACUUUUGGCAGGAAAGAAACGUCAUGGGUUAAUACCCCGUGAAACUGACGGUACCUGCAGAAUAAGCACCGGCUAACUACGUGCCAGCAGCCGCGGUAAUACGUAGGGUGCAAGCGUUAAUCGGAAUUACUGGGCGUAAAGCGUGCGCAGGCGGUUCGGAAAGAAAGAUGUGAAAUCCCAGAGCUUAACUUUGGAACUGCAUUUUUAACUACCGAGCUAGAGUGUGUCAGAGGGAGGUGGAAUUCCGCGUGUAGCAGUGAAAUGCGUAGAUAUGCGGAGGAACACCGAUGGCGAAGGCAGCCUCCUGGGAUAACACUGACGCUCAUGCACGAAAGCGUGGGGAGCAAACAGG
RNAcentral lists this ribosomal RNA (753 nucleotides) under uncultured Achromobacter sp. RNAcentral's name for it is "bacterial SSU rRNA". It matches the Rfam family "Bacterial small subunit ribosomal RNA", at positions 28 to 776 of the family's 1533-position model. Lineage: Bacteria; Pseudomonadati; Pseudomonadota; Betaproteobacteria; Burkholderiales; Alcaligenaceae. The record is from RNAcentral.